CCUACGGGGUGCAGCAGUAGGGAAUCUUCCGCAAUGGACGAAAGUCUGACGGAGCAACGCCGCGUGAGUGAUGAAGGUUUUCGGAUCGUAAAGCUCUGUUGUUAGGGAAGAACAAGUGCCGUUCAAAUAGGGCGGCACCUUGACGGUACCUAACCAGAAAGCCACGGCUAACUACGUGCCAGCAGCCGCGGUAAUACGUAGGUGGCAAGCGUUGUCCGGAAUUAUUGGGCGUAAAGGGCUCGCAGGCGGUUUCUUAAGUCUGAUGUGAAAGCCCCCGGCUCAACCGGGGAGGGUCAUUGGAAACUGGGGAACUUGAGUGCAGAAGAGGAGAGUGGAAUUCCACGUGUAGCGGUGAAAUGCGUAGAGAUGUGGAGGAACACCAGUGGCGAAGGCGACUCUCUGGUCUGUAACUGACGCUGAGGAGCGAAAGCGUGGGGAGCGAACAGGAUUAGAUACCCGGGUAGUC
This 466-nucleotide ribosomal RNA is filed under the name uncultured bacterium. RNAcentral describes it as "bacterial SSU rRNA". It matches the Rfam family "Bacterial small subunit ribosomal RNA", at positions 338 to 795 of the family's 1533-position model. The record is from RNAcentral.